AUUGAACGCUGGCGGCAGGCCUAACACAUGCAAGUCGAACGGUAACAGGAAACAGCUUGCUGUUUCGCUGACGAGUGGCGGACGGGUGAGUAAUGUCUGGGAAACUGCCUGAUGGAGGGGGAUAACUACUGGAAACGGUAGCUAAUACCGCAUAACGUCGCAAGACCAAAGAGGGGGACCUUCGGGCCUCUUGCCAUCAGAUGUGCCCAGAUGGGAUUAGCUAGUAGGUGGGGUAACGGCUCACCUAGGCGACGAUCCCUAGCUGGUCUGAGAGGAUGACCAGCCACACUGGAACUGGGACACGGUCCAGACUCCUACGGGAGGCAGCAGUGGGGAAUAUUGCACAAUGGGCGCAAGCCUGAUGCAGCCAUGCCGCGUGUAUGAAGAAGGCCUUCGGGUUGUAAAGUACUUUCAGCGGGGAGGAAGGGAGUAAAGUUAAUACCUUUGCUCAUUGACGUUACCCGCAGAAGAAGCACCGGCUAACUCCGUG
This 490-nucleotide ribosomal RNA is filed under the name uncultured bacterium. Its description in RNAcentral is "partial 16S ribosomal RNA". It matches the Rfam family "Bacterial small subunit ribosomal RNA", at positions 30 to 507 of the family's 1533-position model. The record is from RNAcentral.